Molecule: ribosomal RNA, 433 nt
Filed under: uncultured bacterium
Lineage: Bacteria
Description: partial 16S ribosomal RNA
Rfam family: Bacterial small subunit ribosomal RNA
Source: RNAcentral
AACGAACGCUGGCGGCAUGCCUAACACAUGCAAGUCGAACGAGACCUUCGGGUCUAGUGGCGCACGGGUGCGUAACGCGUGGGAACCUGCCCUUAGGUUCGGAAUAACUCCCCGAAAGGGGUGCUAAUACCGGAUAAUGUCUUCGGACCAAAGAUUUAUCGCCUUUGGAUGGGCCCGCGUUGGAUUAGCUAGUUGGUAGGGUAAAAGCCUACCAAGGCGACGAUCCAUAGCUGGUCUGAGAGGAUGAUCAGCCACACUGGGACUGAGACACGGCCCAGACUCCUACGGGAGGCAGCAGUGGGGAAUAUUGGACAAUGGGCGAAGGCCUGAUCCAGCAAUGCCGCGUGAGUGAUGAAGGCCUUAGGGUUGUAAAGCUCUUUUACCCGGGAUGAUAAUGACGGUACCGGGAGAAUAAGCUCCGGCUAACUCCGUG